RNAcentral lists this ribosomal RNA (545 nucleotides) under uncultured marine picoplankton. Its description in RNAcentral is "SSU rRNA". It matches the Rfam family "Eukaryotic small subunit ribosomal RNA", at positions 598 to 1163 of the family's 1831-position model. The record is from RNAcentral.
CGUAUAUUUAAGUUGUUGCAGUUAAAAAGCUCGUAGUCGGAUUUUGGCUGAGAACGGUCGGUCCGCCGUUAGGUGUGCACUGACUGGUCUCAGCUUCCUGGUGAGGAGGUGUGCUUCGCGGCCACUUAGUCACCGUGGUUACUUUGAAAAAAUUAGAGUGUUCAAAGCGGGCUUACGCUUGAAUAUAUUAGCAUGGAAUAACACCAUAGGACUCCUGUCCUAUUUCGUUGGUCUCGGGACGGGAGUAAUGAUUAAGAGGAACAGUUGGGGGCAUUCGUAUUUCAUUGUCAGAGGUGAAAUUCUUGGAUUUAUGAAAGACGAACUUCUGCGAAAGCAUUUGCCAAGGAUGUUUUCAUUGAUCAAGAACGAAAGUUGGGGGCUCGAAGAUGAUUAGAUACCAUCCUAGUCUCAACCAUAAACGAUGCCGACUAGGGAUUGGCGGAUGUUAAUUGAUGACUUCGCCAGCACCUUAUGAGAAAUCAAAGUUUUUGGGUUCCGGGGGGAGUAUGGUCGCAAGGCUGAAACUUAAAGGAAUUGACGGAAGG